GACGCUGACACACCUGUGUUCUAGCGUAUAUUUACUGCAGUCCGAUAUAGGUCCAGUGGCAGACCUUCGCAGCUCUCUGAUUCAGUAGGUCCACUGAACAGCCCUCAGAAUUGCAGAAUUUUGUCAUUUGGUUAACUUGACUUCAAUCAGCUAACCCUCACCCAGGACUUAACUAUAAUACCAGAUGCUUGACAGCCCUACCACCUCUGAAAUCCCUUCUGGUAUCCAUCCCCUUGGACUCACAUCUUCUUGCCUCAACUGUACUUAAUCACAAGAGUCACCAUCUUGGAGCAGUCACUGUUUGCCUUUUUUGAUCAUGUUUAGAACUCACGUUUAUUUUAAAUUAUACAGGGCUUUCUUUGCAUUUGCCUCAGUCCUUUAUGUUUCUCUAACAAACAUAUUCCAAGGGAGCAUAUACUCUCAGCUGGAUUCAUCAUCUCUUCCCCAGAUCAUUCAUGGGGGAUUCCACCUGGCCCUGUUGAUGUCACUUCUGGGUCCGAGCCAAUGGAGGAAGACUUUGUCAGCUCUGGUCCCUUUGAUGUCAUGUCCGGGCUCGAGCCUAUGGCUAAAGACCCUUCUGAGCCCGACCCCUCUGACUUCACUUCCUGUCUUUUCCUUUAAAAGCCUCCACCUUUUCCUUAUUCCCUCUGUUCUGUUUUGGACU
Molecule: long non-coding RNA, 664 nt
Organism: Polypterus senegalus (gray bichir)
Lineage: Eukaryota; Metazoa; Chordata; Cladistia; Polypteriformes; Polypteridae
Exons: 3
Source: RefSeq, a predicted model, not a curated record